This is a non-coding RNA of Salvia hispanica, 812 nucleotides long. The record is from RefSeq and is a predicted model, not a curated record. NCBI's taxonomy places the organism in Eukaryota, Viridiplantae, Streptophyta, Magnoliopsida, Lamiales, Lamiaceae.
CCCUCUUCGUCCUCUCUCUCCCGGUCUCUCCUUCUCUCUCGGUCUCUCUCUGUUUCUCGACCGACGGAGCUCGGCUGCCUCCGGAGAGGAGCCUCCGUUGCCGGCGUCCGCCCGUCACUCAAUCACUGCCGCCUCGUCCAUUUUCAAGUACGUUUCUUUAUCACAAACCACUCCAUACCUUAACACACACACAAACUCAUCUCCUCCUUCAUUCAUGGUCAAAAACUAGUGUCGGGGUGCGGUCGGCUCGCCGGUGUGCGCGAGACCAGCCGCCGUUGACUUGCGGGCGUUGGGCAGUGGCGGAAGUGGCGAAGAAGAAAGCUGAGGGGCAGCAGCGGUGGCUGCCACCGUGUGACAGCAGCGGCGUCGGCGUGUACGGCUGCCAAACGGAGCAGCUGUGUGCGUGUGGCUGUCGAGAGUGCAGCAAGGUGUGCGUGGCUGCCUUGUGACUGCAGCGGCGGCUGCCCGGCAGAGGCAACAGCAGCAUCGUCCGGCAGGGCAUCGGCUUUAUUAAUUCUAAGCUAUACUCUCAUCUUGAGAGAUUUUGUGGAAGAACAAAAGAAUUAAGGGUAGAGAUGGUGUGAUAUUUAUAGUGGAAAAGGAUACAUGGAAAAACAUGGUCAAUUCUCUAACCCAUGGAAGCAAACUAUUACACAAGAGAUAAUGACUUUUGCUAAAAAGGGUAUCGGGGUUCAAGGCGUGACUAUUAAGCAAGAUCCGGAGGGCAUGAAGAGUAUUUUUAUUUUUAUUUUUAUUUUUACUCUAAUGUUGAACGCGAUGUAGAACGGGGUUUUGAUCUAUGAAAACUAGAU